Amphiprion ocellaris (clown anemonefish) is the source of this 1406-nucleotide long non-coding RNA. RefSeq lists it as uncharacterized. The transcript has 3 exons. The record is from RefSeq and is a predicted model, not a curated record. NCBI's taxonomy places the organism in Eukaryota, Metazoa, Chordata, Actinopteri, Pomacentridae.
CAGCGCGCUAGCGGAUCUAGUGUUCUAUGUAUAUCUAUGGUCGGCACGACUGGUAGCAUCUGUGGCUGCUGUUGACCUUGUUUUUGGAGUAAAACACGGUGGAAGCUGAAUUAGUGAGGAUGACUCCUGCUCCUGUCAUCUCUAAGCUCCUCACACAUCUUUACCUGCACAUGAGGAAAAUCACUCCUGUAGAAUGCAGAUGUUCAGAGGGAGAUGAUGCCACAUCUGGUCCAGCUGAUGGAAGGUCUUGAAGUUCUCUGACUGGCCUCGACUGAAGAUGGUCGUCUCACUGGAUUUAAGGUUCAGAUGCUCAGUAACAAACUCCACCAAUGAGCCAACAGGGAAGCUUUAGGUUUAUUAAAUGUUGCUAUGAAGGUUUCGCUGUUUUUCUUUGUGAAUGCAAUGUGCUCCAACUGAAACUUGAAUUAGAACUUAGAAGUAAAUCCUUCCAUCUGAAAGGAUUUAGUUGCAUUAAUAACCUCAUAACAUUCUAAUUUUUAUUCCAGUCUUGGUUGGAAAUAGAAUCUCUGUAUUGAUUCAGGUAAAAACUGAACUUCACAGCAUGUUGGAGCAAAACAACCAGAUGAAAACUGUGAUGGUGUUGGAUUGUCAGACCGUAAUGUUGCAGCUCAAAGCAGCUUUUCUAUCUCAGUUCAUUCUGACAUUCAGCUAUGAAUCAACACAGCAGAUGGUGAUCCAUGCUGUGGAAGUCUCACAUCUCCUGAUUUAAUGGAGCUGCUUUGCACUUUUUACACUGUUUAUUCACCAACACUUUAUUUAAUAAAAGUCCCAUCUAGUUUUUAUGAGGAAUGUGAUGUUUUAAUUUCUCUGUGAAUAACUGCAGUCUAAUGCAACAGCUGGAGUUGUAACAUCUGUCCUGAUAUUGAUCAUGAAGUAUUGAUCAGAAUACUUAUGGUCAGCAGUCAUCCCUGAAGUUUUACAUUAAAAUCUUUACUUGUGUUGUGAACUUUGGUAAGAAGCAGAAACUUUAGCGUUGCCAUGGAUACAUGAGUGUUAAAUUCUGUCCAUGUUUCCAUUUUGGGAAAUUCAGUCCAGCAGAUGAGUUUGUUUUUACUGCCAGCUACCAUUCAGUCUGAGAUAUUAAGAAUAAAUAAAUGUGCAUAAUGUGGAAAUGAACAGAUUUUAUUUUUAUUUAUUCCUACAGCUGCUGGAAAGUUCCAGAAUGUGGAGGAAUUUAGUCUCACAAUCACAGACAAUAAAUAUUAUCUGAAAGUCGGGUUAUUGUUGUUUAUCAGCACAAUACAAAAAGAUUAAUGUUAGAAAUAUUCCAGUUAAGACUCUAGAAUAUCAUGAUUUAUGUAAAUUUACCUCAAUAAUAUGAAUGUUCAGGUUAAGAUUGUACAGUGAUAUUUAUUAUGUAAGUUUAGCUGAUUAAAGUUUAUGAC